CAAGAAGAAAAAGUUUGGUUUUUCAAAGAUUCACGUGGAUUCCGGUCAGAAAGAUGCAUAUGAGGAAGCUCGACUCAAACAUCCACACGCAACUGUGAUUUCUGACUGGUAGACAGAUGAGGAUGAUGAUCGCCUGUCAUACAUCUAAAGACAGAACAGGGACAGUAUAGACACAUCUAUACCGUGAUGAAGAAAAAUUACUUGGAACAAAGAGGCUGGAUAAAAGCACGACUGACUGAAGUUUUAAAAUCAUGCAACGUCAUAAAGCAGCAGCUGGGCCUGAUUCUCACAAAACCAAAACAGACGUGAUGAAAUUCCAGAUGUAAACACAUUUGACCUUCCUUUGGCCAAUUUGAUUUGGAAAAGCUUGAAAAUCAACUGAAGGAGCAGCCUGAACAAAUGAAGAAACUGAUGGAGUGAGGACAAAUGUCCAUACCACACCACUGAUAAGGAAAUGGAAAAAUGCAUUACAAGGUAGCUACAACUUGCCCCUGACAGGGAUGGAGGAAGAAAGAAGAGAAAGCUAAUGUGUCAAAUGUCUACAUCACUAUUUUGUUUUAUUUUUUAAACAACAUUUUAAGUGUAUUAGGAUGUUCCCUGAUACUUGAACAAUUUGUUUCUUUCAUUUGCAUUUAUAUAUAUAUAUAUAUAUAUAUAUAUAUAUAUAUAUAUAUAUAUAUAUAUAUAUAUAUAUAUAUAUAUAUAUAUAUGUAUAUAUAUAUAUAUAUAUAUAUAUAUAUGUAUAUAUGUAUAUGUAUAUAUAUGUGUGUGUGUGUAUGUGUGUGUGUAUAUAUGUAUGGUAUGUAUGUAUGUAUGUAUGUGUGUGCGCCAAAUUCUGAAGAAACAUCUUGAUACAUUUUUAAUAAACGUAAUACAAAUAAAAUUAUAAAUAUAAAAUUGCACAAGACGUGUAUAUAUAUGAAAUGUAUAAUCAUCUCACUCAUGUCUUGCUGUGUGCAAUUGAUUUUGUUCAAGUUUAUUUAAAAAAAAGUUUGACUUUAAACUUAUGCAAUUAUAUUUAUAUAUAUAAAAUAUAUAUAUAUUUGUUUGUUUAUUAUUAUUUUAAUGUUUUAUUAAAAAUGUUUCAAGAUGUUUCUUCAGAAUUCUGCAGUACUUUUUACAAGUUUGACUUGGAUAUUUUACGGAUUGUCAUUGGUAUUUUUAAGAUGUUUCUUGCUAUAUCUUAAAUUGGUUUCUAUAUUUAGGUUUAUAUAAAAUUUAGCUGUUUUUUUUUUACCAAUUUUUAAUUCAAGUCUAUUGGGAAAACAGGGUUGUUUUAAAAAACAUCUGUGUUUGUGUGUAAUUUUUAGAUUUUUUGUUUAAAUCUUUCUGUGUGUCUUUAUUGUGUUUUAUUGUUGUUUUUAUAUUGAUAUUCUUGUGCACUACAAAAUUAUUUAUAAAAUUUUAGUACUAUUUUUUUCAUGCAAUCAAUAAACGUUUAACAUUUA
RNAcentral lists this long non-coding RNA (1448 nucleotides) under Danio rerio (zebrafish). RNAcentral describes it as "si:ch211-190h11.2 (ENSDARG00000105445.2)". Lineage: Eukaryota; Metazoa; Chordata; Actinopteri; Cypriniformes; Danionidae. The record is from RNAcentral.